UACGGGGGGGGCAAGCGUUGUUCGGAAUUACUGGGCGUAAAGGGUUCGUAGGUGGCCAACUAAGCCAGACGUGAAAUCCCUCAGCUUAACUGGGGAACUGCAUCUGGGACUGGAUGGCUUGAGUGCAGGAGAGGAACGCGGAAUUCCAGGUGUAGCGGUGAAAUGCGUAGAUAUCUGGAGGAACACCGGUGGCGAAGGCGGCGUUCUGGACUGCAACUGACACUGAGGAACGAAAGCCAGGGGAGCAAACGGG
RNAcentral lists this ribosomal RNA (253 nucleotides) under uncultured bacterium. RNAcentral's name for it is "partial 16S ribosomal RNA". It matches the Rfam family "Bacterial small subunit ribosomal RNA", at positions 524 to 776 of the family's 1533-position model. The record is from RNAcentral.